UACAGAGGGUGCUAGCGUUGUUCGGAAUUACUGGGCGUAAAGGGAGUGUAGGUGGUUUGAUAAGUUUCUUGUUAAAUCUGCGGGCUUACCCUGACAGCUGCAAGAAAAACUGUCUUACUUGAGUAUUGGAGAGGAUAGUGGAAUUCCCGGUGUAGAGGUGAAAUUCGUAGAUAUCGGGAGGAACACCAGUGGCGAAGGCGGCUAUCUGGCCAAUAACUGACACUGAGACUCGAAAGCAUGGGGAGCAAACAGG
Molecule: ribosomal RNA, 253 nt
Filed under: uncultured bacterium
Lineage: Bacteria
Description: partial 16S ribosomal RNA
Rfam family: Bacterial small subunit ribosomal RNA
Source: RNAcentral